GGGUGAGUAAUGUCUGGGGAUCUGCCCGAGGGCGGGGGAUAACCACUGGAAACGGUGGCUAAUACCGCAUAAUGUCGCGAGACCAAAGUGGGGGACCUGAAAGGGCCUCACGCCGUCGGAUGAACCCAGAUGGGAUUAGCURGUAGGUAGGGUAAAGGCCUACCUAGGCGACGAUCCCUAGCUGGUCUGAGAGGAUGACCAGCCACACUGGGACUGAGACACGGCCCAGACUCCUACGGGAGGCAGCAGUGGGGAAUAUUGCACAAUGGGCGCAAGCCUGAUGCAGCCAUGCCGCGUGUAUGAAGAAGGCCUUCGGGUUGUAAAGUACUUUCAGCGGGGAGGAAGGGUUCAGCUUGAACAGAGCUGGAUUUUGACGUUACCCGCAGAAGAAGCACCGGCUAACUCCGUGCCAGCAGCCGCGGUAAUACGGAGGGUGCAAGCGUUAAUCGGAAUGACUGGGCGUAAAGCGCACGCAGGCGGUCAAUUAAGUUAGAUGUGAAAUCCCCGGGCUCAACCUGGGAAUGGCAUCUAAGACUGGUUGGCUGGAGUCUCGUAGAGGGGGGUAGAAUUCCAUGUGUAGCGGUGAAAUGCGUAGAGAUGUGGAGGAAUACCGGUGGCGAAGGCGGCCCCCUGGACGAAGACUGACGCUCAGGUGCGAAAGCGUGGGGAGCAAACAGGAUUAGAUACCCUGGUAGUCCACGCUGUAAACGAUGUCGAUUUGGAGGUUGUGGCCUUGAGCUGUGGCUUCCGAAGCUAACGCGUUAAAUCGACCGCCUGGGGAGUACGGCCGCAAGGUUAAAACUCAAAUGAAUUGACGGGGGCCCGCACAAGCGGUGGAGCAUGUGGUUUAAUUCGAUGCAACGCGAAGAACCUUACCUACUCUUGACAUCCAGAGAAGACCUCAGAGAUGAGGUUGCGCCUUCGGGAGCUCUGAGACAGGUGCUGCAUGGCUGUCGUCAGCUCGUGUUGUGAAAUGUUGGGUUAAGUCCCGCAACGAGCGCAACCCUUAUCCUUUGUUGCCAGCGCGUAAUGGCGGGAACUCAAAGGAGACUGCCGGUGAUAAACCGGAGGAAGGUGGGGAUGACGUCAAGUCAUCAUGGCCCUGACGAGUAGGGCUACACACGUGCUACAAUGGCGGAUACAAAGUGAAGCGACCUCGCGAGAGCAAGCGGAACACACAAAGUCUGUCGUAGUCCGGAUUGGAGUCUGCAACUCGACUCCAUGAAGUCGGAAUCGCUAGU
This 1241-nucleotide ribosomal RNA is filed under the name Photorhabdus luminescens subsp. luminescens. Its description in RNAcentral is "bacterial SSU rRNA". It matches the Rfam family "Bacterial small subunit ribosomal RNA", at positions 104 to 1339 of the family's 1533-position model. Lineage: Bacteria; Pseudomonadati; Pseudomonadota; Gammaproteobacteria; Enterobacterales; Morganellaceae. The record is from RNAcentral.